Molecule: long non-coding RNA, 962 nt
Organism: Episyrphus balteatus (marmalade hoverfly)
Lineage: Eukaryota; Metazoa; Arthropoda; Insecta; Diptera; Syrphidae
Exons: 4
Source: RefSeq, a predicted model, not a curated record
AAAAGAGAUGAAUUCCGAAAACUGAUGGAAGAUGCUCAUCUUAAUGGAAAAGAUCAUUAUUUAGUGAAUUAAGUCAACGUUAUGGACGCCACGAUCACAACAAAACCAUCGAAAAAGUACGUGAAUGUGAAAGUUUUUUUCAAAGAGUACAUUGUCGAUUUUCUUCUCAAGAAAGAAGAGGAUAAAAUUCAGAAAAAGAAAAAGCAGCCUCAUACUACCACCAUCUUGUUGGGAUGCGUCUGCGAUCUCUUGUGCUAAUCUAUAUGCCAUUGUUUAUUGGUGCUUUGAUUCGUCAUGAAGUCGAAAAGAAGGAUAAAUGGAUUCAAGAGUUUUUGCAAUGUUGACUGCUGCUUUAACUGAUAACGAAACCAGUGGAAAUAUGGCUACUCAAGUGAUAUAUAAAAUUUGUAUAACUAUGACCUAUUUGGUGCCAUUCAUUUUUAUACACAAGACUGUUGAAUUGACGGACCAGAAGUCGAUUGCUAUGAUUAUUAAGUUUCUUCAAGCUUUUGUCGUCGAGGACUCUCUGAUAAGGUUAUUCAAACUUUUGGAGUAUCCCCAACUACACUCAACAAACAUUCGUUUGUUGUUGGACUUUCACUUGGAAGCUUCGAAAAACACUCAGUUGGAUAGCUCAGUGCGUGUAAACACUGGCAUCUAUUGGCUGGUUGGGGCGCUUGAAUAAGAAGGUAAUUGUCAGGCAAGAGCUCGUUGAACUCAUCAUUCAGGUUGUCUUGAAUCCAAUUGAGGCAUUACCCUCCAGUGGUGGAGAUGAAAAACAUGGCGCUGACACACCACCGUUGCUGGAAAGGAAAAUAACAUGCAUAUUUUGAUUCUUUCGUGGUUGGCUGCAGCCACUGAAGCAUGCAAUGCUGAAUUUAAAAGUCAAGAGUUUGCUUCGGCAAAAAGUGCUUCAUAUUGUUGUAAUAUACCUAGAGUGCUUAAAUGAACAUUAAAAUAAA